UACGGGGGGGGCAAGCGUUGUUCGGAAUUACUGGGCGUAAAGGGCUCGUAGGUGGUCAACUAAGUCGGACGUGAAAUCCCUCGGCUUAACCGGGGAACUGCGUCCGAUACUGGAUGACUUGAGUUCGGGAGAGGGAUGCGGAAUUCCAGGUGUAGCGGUGAAAUGCGUAGAUAUCUGGAGGAACACCGGUGGCGAAGGCGGCAUCCUGGACCAACACUGACGCUGAGGAGCGAAAGCCAGGGGAGCAAACGGG
RNAcentral lists this ribosomal RNA (253 nucleotides) under uncultured bacterium. RNAcentral describes it as "partial 16S ribosomal RNA". It matches the Rfam family "Bacterial small subunit ribosomal RNA", at positions 524 to 776 of the family's 1533-position model. The record is from RNAcentral.